Molecule: long non-coding RNA, 5483 nt
Filed under: Marmota monax (woodchuck)
Lineage: Eukaryota; Metazoa; Chordata; Mammalia; Rodentia; Sciuridae
Source: RNAcentral
CGGAGAAACGCUGCUAACUGUUGUAGAAACACUACUAACACUGCUCCCUGGACGUGCCUUUGGUGAGCACAUGGACACAUUUCUUGGUCUAGCAAAGUUGCUGGGGGACAGGAAGGUCUGCUUGUGUCCAGCUGAGGGCAGCACUGUGAAGAAGUCGUAGCAUGUGGCACUUUUUAAAGGCCAAUCUUUGAGUAGGACGACACUGGCUUGGAAUUCACCUUCCAGUGGCAUUUCUGCUGAAGGCGGUAGAUGUCAGGGGACACAGCCAGGCAUGCUUGGGGCAGGUGGUAACAUAGGCUGUGUCCUGUUGAGCUGCACCUCAGCGUGUCAGCAUGCGCUACCACUUCACAUGAACAGGUGUGUCUUCUUUCAAGGAUUUUUAAUAGAUACCUUAGUUAACGCAUUCGCAAGAAAAGAUGGCGGGCUCAAAGGGCACCAUUCGAUUAGUAAAGGGAAACAAGGGACAGUGCCCAGGGACGCAGCAGUACACAAGUGCUCCCAACCUCAGGUCUGAAGGAGUGCGGUGCUGUGUCCUGCCGGGAGCUGUGGUCGUGGAGGGGGUCUGCCGGGCAGCUCUGGGUAGCAGAUGCAGGGAGCAGGUGGCCUGGGCUGGGGUGAAAGCUCCAAUCUGCCCUCAGCAGGUGUGCCCCUGGGCAAGGCCAGCUGGCACCCAGAGACAGGGAGCCAGCAGCUCCUCCUGGGUAGUGCCCUAGGGCACAGCAGGGAAGCCAGGGGCAGGGACAAACAGCACACAGGGAACGUAUUGAGAGGAUUUAGGGACAUACAGUAAAAUAUAAAACAAGAGUACUUAUGGCCUAACAACCAAAACCACGGGCCAGCACGUCCGUCGUGGAGUGCUGUUCCUCUCCCAGCGCAGGAAAUGGGACCCAGGCCUGCACGUGCUCCACGGCCACCUGGCAGCCCCACUUCUUAGGCCCUUAAAUAGUUGGGCUUGCGCGGUUUGGCUUUGUGCUAAGCUGGCGGCAGAAUGUCUUGGCAAGAGGACAUUUAAGGGAAAGUUCGUGGAAAAUGGCAACAGCAGGUACAUCCCCAGCUGUGCGUUGCUGUGACUGGAGUACUCGACGGGAGAGCUCAGAGCAGGGAGGCCAUCCUGGGUCAUGGUUCCAGGUCAGUGCGGGAGCCUGGAAGGAGGGAGGGGGAGGGCCGGGGUGAGGUACAGUCCCCAAAGGCAUCUCGCCCCUUACUGACUUCCUCCAAAAAGUCCCACCUGCCUACGGGGGUCCCGUCACCCCCCAGUAUCCAUUCACAUGACGAACCUUCAGGUGGGUUGACCACUGGUGAGUUGAGAGCCCUCCAUCCAGUCACUUCCCUAAAGUCCCACCUCUGGACUUCACUGCGUUGGACACCCAGCAUUCCACACACGACCUUUGGGGGACAUUCCACCCCGAAACCAUAACGGGUGGUGUGGCUCCCACUACAUAGAGAUUAGGGGCUCACAAAACAGAGUGGCUGCUCUCUGUAGGAGAAGGGGAUUUAUUAUUAGUCCCUUGUGCUCUUGAGAAUGGCAGCCUGAUGGGGGUGGCCAAGGGACGAUUAAGAAUGGCCUAGCAAAAUGGUGACUUCUGAUCUCCUCAUGAGUAAGAUUCCACUUCUUUUGAAGAGUUGGAACAUCUCUUUCCCAGGGAAAUGGGUUCAGCCCCCACUGAAGAGUGGGCAUGCAGCCCGGGCCUGGCUAUGGAGUUACCGGGGGGCCACCGGGGUUGGUGGAGGGGCCUUCCACCGGUGAGGGAAGCACAGGAGGGUGUCCCUGCCCUGAGCCAGCCCGCCUCCUGGCUAGCUUGGAACCGGAGGAGAAAGGCACUAUUAGGAGCUGCCAGGUGAAGAAUCGGGACUCUUGGCUCCGCGUCACUGAUGAGUGUUUGCAUCUUGGCUUUGAUUUGUCCCCCAAAUUAGGGCAAAUACUAGCAAGUGGUGCUUGCCCUUGACCCUGACCCUAGGCCGUCACAACUGGCACUUGUUAGGGAGACUUGAGAGGUGAAGUCCCACCGCAGCCAAGUGCAGGCGCCGAGGCUGACCCGCGGCAGUCUGGCUGCAGAGCCCCACUCUUGAGGAAUAAUGGCCUGACCCCCAACUUGGCACCCAGGCUGGCACUGCCAGGAAGCCGAGCAUGACUUGUGGCCUUGUCUCUGAUAGUGAUUGGUUGCAAAUUCAUCAUUGUCACCCCAGGGCUCUGUAAAAGCACACCCUUCACCAUGACAAAGCCACGUGGGAGGUGAUAGAUAAUGGGGGCAAACAGGCAAGGUAGAGAGGGUACAAAACCUGGCUUGGGGCAGGACUGGGUGUCCGUGGCCUUGGCAGUCUGGCUAAGGGGCUGGGCGGAAGGCUCCCCAUGGCUCUGGUAGCUCUGGGAAGGCUGGGCGUCCAGUUCUUCUCGUGCUUUGGGCCCCUGUUGCCUCCAAAUGACAACCAGUUCCACCAAGAAUCGUACUUCUUGUUGUGGCAAAUGAUGCACAGUAGUGUCUUCACCUUGGAGGUGCUGUCUUCCCACACUCCCAACCUGGGUCUCUGCAGCUUCCUGAGUGAUGAGCCUUUGCGUCCCGUGGAGUCUGUCUGCCUCUGUCCGCUCAGAGGCUCUGGGAUGUCCAAGCCAUUUGUUCCUCAGAUCUGUUCAAUAUCCUGAUGACGGUUUAGCAAGCGGAUCUUGUGGUUGGGAUCCCCACACACUCUGUUAUGACAGAGAGGUGACGUAGCCCUGAAGCAGAACUGUGCGUGUCUCCUGUUGGCCAGAAAGUGAGUGGCAUGGCAGGCCUUCGGGGAUAGGGCCUGGCUCUGCACAGUGCUGUUCCCUGAACCUGUGGGGGUCCCCAUUGAGUGCAUCCACUCCAGGUUGAGUCCUCUUUGGCGACCAGGGCUGGUGCACCCUGCCCUCUACGCAUGCCCCUUCCUCUUCCUGCCAUCUCUGGCCUCAUGGGCUCCUUCAUCAAGGGCAUGUGGCUGCUCUCCUGCGUUCCUCUUCCCAGCCCUCCGUCUCCCCUAUGGCACUGCCAGGGGGCUUCACGCUCAGCAUAUGUUGGUGCCAUGCCAGCUGCUUGCACUGCUUCUUGAAGAGCCUUGCGAUCGGGGUAGGCUGACUCCCCAGGCCCCGCCUCCACCUAACGUGUACUCCCACCUUCCUCCUGGACAUCGUCACUUGCCGCAGCCAGGUGGUCCUUGCCUUCUCUUUCUCAGCCUUCACUCGACUCAGUGUUCAUAAAGACAGAACCAUUACACCGGGGCUGGUGUCGCUCCGUGGUGGAGUGUCUGCCCAGCAUGCUCGGGCCCUGGGUGUUAUCCCUAUCACUGCACAAAUCAAACCAACCAACCACAUCAUUACAGCAGCAAGUGAUUCGGGCUCACGGGCCUCUGUUCAUUUUUUUUUUUGGACUGGAGAUUGAGCCCAGGGGCACUUAAUCAUUGAGUCACAUCCUCAGCCCUUUUUAUUUUUUAUUUUGAGAAGAAUCUGGCUAAGUCGCUUAGGGCCUUGCUUAAUUGCUGAGGCUGGCUUUGAACUUGCAAUCCUCCUGCCUCAGUCUCUCUAGCUGCUGGGAUUGCAGGCGUGCACUUUCAUGCCCAGCCCGCUGUUCAAUCUUUAGCACAGAUUCUGUCUGCAGGGCAUUCUGACCUCCUGCCUCCAGUCCCUUAGCCAUUUUCCUUGUUCAAAGCCUCAUUUCAUGGGCCUUAUAAAUGCCACUGUACCUUUAAUUCAUCCUCUUCCCUGCAGUCAGUGUAGAGGUCCUGUUGUGUGGCUUUAAUGAUAGAAUUUACCACCUCCCCUUUUUUCUUUUUCCUGUUUUGUGAUGCUGGUGAUUGAGCCCAGGGCCUUGUGCAUUCCAGGCCAGUGCUCUGCCACAAGCCACGUCACACACCUCCAAAACUGUAUUUGCCUUUAUUUCCACAGCAGUGCUUCCAUGAUUAAGUCUGGGCAUGGCCUCGUGUCAUGGGGUUGAGCCCCUGUGCCCAUCCUGUUUCCCACCAACCUAUACUAACUCUCCGUGUGUCCCACGACUCUGAUUCCACACGCUUCCUUGCAUGCUGCUCACCAUGUGGAAAUUCUUGAGUACCAGCCUCUGUUUUUCUUUCCAGUUCCUUUGUUGCCUUCCUUCCCAACUGAAUUACAUAGUGUUGGGGUACUGGGGGUGGAAUCCAUGGACACUCAGCCACCAAGCCAGAGCCCAAGCCUUUUUUUUAUAUUUAAUUAUUUUUUAUAUUUAAUGGUCUCGCUGAGUUGCUUAGGACUUUGCUAAGGUGCUGAGGCUGGCUUUGAGCUUGCAGUCCUCCUGCCUCAGCCUCCCAAGUCACUAGGAUUACAGGUGUGCAGCACUGUGCCUGGCUCUUUUUUCUGUUUGAGUCUUUCCAGUCAUCAUAGCAAAUGUCAGUUGUCAUGGUGCUGGGGGUGACCUCACUUUGCCUGCAGAUGGGAUUAUAAUGAAGUCAGAGGUUUUCUAGUAGCCAUCUUAGAUCCAACCAAUUUUGGCCAGCCCACCUGUGGAGGGACUCAUGGCCUCAGGCAUCCUGUCCUCAAGGAUAAGCAAGGCUAGGGUAGAAGAAAUUCAGCUUGUCACUAGGCAGUAUGAUGACUAACCCCUUUUUCUCCCUUUUUUGCAAUGUUGGGAAUUGGACCCAGGGCCUCACACAUGCUAGACAAGCAUUUGACCACUGAGCUACAUCCCCAAUCCUUUUUAUUUAUUUAUUUAUUUUUAUUUUGAGACAGGGUCUCACUGAGUUGCUGAGGGCAUUGUUAAGUUACUGAGGCUGGUCUCAAAUUUUUCUUUUUUUUUUUCUUUUUUUUUUUUUAAUUUUUAUUGUUGGUUGUUCAAAACAUUACAUAGUUCUUGACAUAUCAUAUUUCACACUUUGAUUCAAGUGGGUUAUGAACUCCCAUUUUUACCCCGUAUACAGAUUGCAGCAUCACAUCGGUUACACAUCCACUGUUUUUCAUAUUGCUAUACUAGUGUCUGUUGUAUUCUGCUGCCUUUCCUAUCCUCUACUAUCCCCCCUCCCCUCCCCUCCCAUCUUCUCUCUCUACCCCAUCUACUGUAAUUCAUUUCUCCCCCUUGUUUUUGUUUUUUUUUUCCCCUUUCCCCUCACUUCCUCUUGUAUGUAAUUUUGUAAAACCAUGAGGGUCUCCUUCCAUUUCCAUGCAAUUUCCCUUCUCUCUCCUUUUCCCUCCCACCUCUCACCCCUGUUUAAUGUUAUCAAAAUUUUCCAUCCUCCUACCUCGGCAUCCCCAGUGACUGUGACUAACUUUAUCUUCAAAGACAAGUGGGUAAUAUGUCUAAUUUGCAAAAAAUGGGUAAAAGUAAUUAUUUCAGGAAAAACAAUUAUGAAAUAUAAUCCUUGAGACAUAAUAAAUCAUGAAUAUGCCAAGUAUAUAGUUAGAAUCCACCAGUAAUAAUAUUGAAUUUUAUGUGAGCCCUGUGAUCCUGGAAAAGUGAAGACUAAGACGCAUCCUCCCUCCACACACACACACUUUUUUUUUAAGG